AGAACGAACGCUGGCGGCAUGCCUAAUACAUGCAAGUCGAACGAACUCUUCGGAGUUAGUGGCGCACGGGUGCGUAACGCGUGGGAAUCUGCCCUUGGGUUCGGAAUAACAGUUGGAAACGACUGCUAAUACCGGAUGAUGACGAAAGUCCAAAGAUUUAUCGCCCAGGGAUGAGCCCGCGUAGGAUUAGCUAGUUGGUGAGGUGAAGGCUCACCAAGGCGACGAUCCUUAGCUGGUCUGAGAGGAUGAUCAGCUACACUGGGACUGAGACACGGCCCAGACUCCUACGGGAGGCAGCAGUAGGGAAUAUUGGACAAUGGGCGAAAGCCUGAUCCAGCAAUGCCGCGUGAGUGAUGAAGGCCUUAGGGUUGUAAAGCUCUUUUACCCGAGAUGAUAAUGACAGUAUCGGAGAAUAAGCCCCGGCUAACUCCGUGCCAGCAGCCGC
Molecule: ribosomal RNA, 445 nt
Filed under: uncultured soil bacterium
Lineage: Bacteria
Description: bacterial SSU rRNA
Rfam family: Bacterial small subunit ribosomal RNA
Source: RNAcentral